Molecule: ribosomal RNA, 253 nt
Filed under: uncultured Eubacteriales bacterium
Lineage: Bacteria; Bacillati; Bacillota; Clostridia; Eubacteriales
Description: uncultured Clostridiales bacterium partial 16S ribosomal RNA
Rfam family: Bacterial small subunit ribosomal RNA
Source: RNAcentral
UACGGAGGAUGCGAGCGUUAUCCGGAUUUAUUGGGUUUAAAGGGUGCGUAGGUGGCAGGGCAAGUCAGAUGUGAAAGCCCGGGGCCCAACCCCGGUACUGCAUUUGAAACUGUCCGGCUGGAGUGCAGGAGAGGUAAGCGGAAUUCCUAGUGUAGCGGUGGAAUGCGUAGAUAUUAGGAGGAACACCAGUGGCGAAGGCGGAUUGCUAGACUGUAACUGACACUGAGGCACGAAAGCGUGGGGAGCAAACAGG